AGGGCCUUAGCUUAAUUAAAGUGCCUGGUUUGCAGCCAGGAGAUGCGAGUUAAUUUCUUGUAGGUCUUA
This 69-nucleotide transfer RNA is filed under the name Sinocyclocheilus oxycephalus. Its description in RNAcentral is "tRNA-Ala". It matches the Rfam family "tRNA". From Rfam's summary of the family: Transfer RNA (tRNA) molecules are approximately 80 nucleotides in length. The record is from RNAcentral. RNAcentral also lists the same sequence under 1 other name. Lineage: Eukaryota; Metazoa; Chordata; Actinopteri; Cypriniformes; Cyprinidae.